RNAcentral lists this ribosomal RNA (257 nucleotides) under uncultured bacterium. Its description in RNAcentral is "partial 16S ribosomal RNA". It matches the Rfam family "Bacterial small subunit ribosomal RNA", at positions 524 to 776 of the family's 1533-position model. The record is from RNAcentral.
UACGUAGGGGGGCUAGCGUUGGUCCGGAUUUAUUGGGCGUAAAGAGCGUGUAGGCGGCCAGGUAGGUCUGGUGUGAAAACUCGAGGCUUAACCUCGAGAUGUCAUCGGAAACCAUCUGGCUAGAAGUCCGGAAGAGGAGAGUGGAAUUCCUGGUGUAGCGGUGAAAUGCGCAGAUAUCAGGAAGAACACCAAUGGCGAAAGCAGCUCUCUGGGACGGUACUGACGCUGAGCACGCGAAAGCGUGGGGAGCGAACAGG